Molecule: non-coding RNA, 787 nt
Filed under: Pheidole smythiesii
Lineage: Eukaryota; Metazoa; Arthropoda; Insecta; Hymenoptera; Formicidae
Source: RNAcentral
AAAAAAUUUAAUUUAUAUUUAAAAAAUUUAUUUUAUAAAUAAUAAUAUAAAUAAGAUUUAAUAAGAUAAUUAAAUAAAUUUAAAUAAUGAAUAGUUUAAUAUUUAAUAUUUAUAAUUAUUAAAAUUAUAUAAAUAAUAAGUAGUAAUUUAUAAAAAUAAUAAUAAAAUUAGUGCCAGCAAUUGCGGUUAAACUAAUGUUAUAAAUAAAUUUUAUUUUAAUUAAAAAUUAAAUGAUAAAUUUAAAAUAAUUUUAAUAAAAUAGUAUAUUUUAUAUGGUGAAAUAUUAAAGUAAUAAAAUAUUAAGAUUAGAUAAAAAUGAAUUUAAAAAAUUAAGAAAAAAAUUAGGAUUAGAUACCCUAUUAUUAUAAAUAAAAUUAAUUAAUAAGAAAUUAAAUGUAGAAUCAUUAAAUUUAAAAAAUUUGGCGGUAUUUUAAAUAGUUAGAGGAACUUGUUAGUUAAAUGAUGAUCCACGAAUGGAAGGUCCUAAUAAAAUUUUAUGUAUUGUUGUAUAAAAAUUAUUUUAUGAGAAUUAUAAUUGGAAUAUUUAAUUUAAUUUGAAUUCAAAUCAAAAUGUAGAAUUGUUAGGUUUAAAUGAGUUACAGUUUAAUUUAAUAUGGUAGUUAUUUUUUUAAUGAAUUAAUAUUAUAGGAUUUAAAAGUAAAUUUAAAAAAAUUUUUAAAUUGAAAUAUUAAUUAAAAUAUGUACAAAUUGCCCGUCAUUUUCAUGAAUAAGUAAUUGGAAAAAGUCGUAACAAAGUAAGUGUACAGGAAUGUGUAUUUAGAUUAAU